RNAcentral lists this ribosomal RNA (408 nucleotides) under uncultured bacterium. RNAcentral describes it as "partial 16S ribosomal RNA". It matches the Rfam family "Bacterial small subunit ribosomal RNA", at positions 30 to 526 of the family's 1533-position model. The record is from RNAcentral.
AUUGAACGCUGGCGGCGUGCCUAAUACAUGCAAGUCGAGCGAAGCGGCGGAUGGGUUAGUAACUCGUGGUUAACCUGCCCUUCAGUCUGUGAUCCCAUUUGAAAACAGAUGCUAAUACCGGAUACUAACGGAUGGCCCUGCGAUGCAUGUGCUAGUUGGUAAGGUAACGGCUUACCAAGGCGAUGAUGCAUAGCCGAGUUGAGAGACUGAUCGGCCACAUUGGGACUGAGACACGGCCCAAACUCCUACGGGAGGCAGCAGUAGGGAAUCUUCCACAAUGGACGAAAGUCUGAUGGAGCAACGCCGCGUGAGUGAAGAAGGUUUUCGGAUCGUAAAGCUCUGUUGUUGGUGAAGCGGUAAUCAACCAGAAAGUCACGGCUAACUACGUGCCAGCAGCCGCGGUAAUUC